Molecule: ribosomal RNA, 449 nt
Filed under: uncultured bacterium
Lineage: Bacteria
Description: bacterial SSU rRNA
Rfam family: Bacterial small subunit ribosomal RNA
Source: RNAcentral
AUCCAGACUCCUACGGGAGGCAGCAGUGGGGAAUAUUGCACAAUGGGGGAAACCCUGAUGCAGCGACGCCGCGUGAGCGAUGAAGUAUUUCGGUAUGUAAAGCUCUAUCAGCAGGGAAGAAGAUGACGGUACCUGACUAAGAAGCCCCGGCUAACUACGUGCCAGCAGCCGCGGUAAUACGUAGGGGGCAAGCGUUAUCCGGAUUUACUGGGUGUAAAGGGAGCGUAGACGGCGAUGCAAGCCAGGUGUGAAAGCCCGGGGCUCAACCCCGGGACUGCAUUUGGAACUGUGUGGCUGGAGUGUCGGAGAGGUAGGCGGAAUUCCUGGUGUAGCGGUGAAAUGCGUAGAUAUUAGGAGGAACCCCAGUGGCGAAGGCGGCCUGCUGGACGAUGACUGACGUUGAGGCUCGAAAGCGUGGGGAGCAAACAGGAUUAGAUACCCUAGUACAA